UGAGACAGCACCAACACACGACGCACAGUAAAUGUCAUGAGAACAAAGAAUUUAUGGCACGUACAGAGGCUCAUUGAAAGUUGAGUAGUCUUCCCGCAUGUUAAAUCACUCUGGUGAUUAAUAGUUGGAAGUAUAAAAUCCGUACAUAUUAGUAAUGGCACGUCAAAAUCACGAAACCUUUCAAGGUGCUGCAAUAUAUUAUAAUGAAUCCAAGAGACAGAGAGAAACCAUUCGGUCGUGAGCAGCGGAGAUGAAAACCUGGACAAUGUGGAUGACGGUCAUAAUGGCCAUCGGAUACCAUCAGAUAUCGAUAGUCAGGUAUCGCUUCCCCGGUCCUACACGUUGCCACGGGAGUUCAAGUACUACCGCCGGAACAAAGGUCGUAAGACGAU
This is a long non-coding RNA of Aedes aegypti (yellow fever mosquito), 392 nucleotides long. RefSeq lists it as uncharacterized. The transcript is spliced from 3 exons. The record is from RefSeq and is a predicted model, not a curated record. NCBI's taxonomy places the organism in Eukaryota, Metazoa, Arthropoda, Insecta, Diptera, Culicidae.